RNAcentral lists this ribosomal RNA (498 nucleotides) under uncultured bacterium. Its description in RNAcentral is "partial 16S ribosomal RNA". It matches the Rfam family "Bacterial small subunit ribosomal RNA", at positions 28 to 507 of the family's 1533-position model. The record is from RNAcentral.
GACGAACGCUGGCGGCAUGCCUAAUACAUGCAAGUUGAACGAUGAUAUUCUCUGCUUGCAGAGAAUUGAAGAGUAGCGAACGGGUGAGUAACACGUGGGGAACCUGCCCAUGAGAGGGGGAUAACAUUCGGAAACGGAUGCUAAUACCGCAUAAUGCUUUGGACCGCCUGGUCCAGAGAUGAAAGACGGCUUUUGCUGUCACUCAUGGAUGACCCCGCGCCGUAUUAGCUAGUUGGUGAGGUAAUGGCUCACCAAAGCUGUGAUACGUAGCCGACCUGAGAGGGUGAUCGGCCACACUGGGACUGAGACACGGCCCAGACUCCUACGGGAGGCAGCAGUAGGGAAUCUUCCACAAUGGGCGAAAGCCUGAUGGAGCAAUGCCGCGUGAAUGAAGAAGGUCUUCGGAUCGUAAAGUUCUGUUAUUAGAGAAGAACAAGUCAAGGAGUAACUGUCUUGACUUUGACGGUACCUAACCAGAAAGUCACGGCUAACUACGUG